GCACAAGCAGCGGAGCGUGUGGUUUAAUUCGUUGCUACACGAAGAACCUUACCUGGGUUUGACAUAUAGGUUGUAGGGAACUGAAAAGGGACCGACCUUCGGGGAGCUUAUACAGGUGUUGCAUGGCUGUCGUCAGCUCGUGUCGUGAGAUGUUCGGUUAAGUCCGCUAACGAGCGCAACCCUCGCCGUAUGUUACAAGUGUCAUACGGGACUGCCGGUAAAAGCCGGAGGAAGGUGAGGAUGAUGUCAAGUCAGCAUGACCUUUAUAUCCAGGGCUACACACACGCUACAAUGGUCUGUACAAUUGGUUGCCAAGCCGCGAGGCGGAGCCAAUCCGUAAAGCAGGCCUCAGUUCAGAUUGCAGUCUGCAACUCGACUGCAUGAAGCCGGAGUUGCUAGUAACCGCAGGUCAGCAAUACUGCGGUGAAUACGUUCCCGGGUCUU
Molecule: ribosomal RNA, 444 nt
Filed under: uncultured Anaerolineaceae bacterium
Lineage: Bacteria; Bacillati; Chloroflexota; Anaerolineae; Anaerolineales; Anaerolineaceae
Description: bacterial SSU rRNA
Rfam family: Bacterial small subunit ribosomal RNA
Source: RNAcentral